CUUCUUUUACUGUUAUAGGUUUGUAGCUUUCAAAUGUCAUACAAGCUGGUAAAAGAGCAUCAAACUGGAGAGAAAAGAAUUAAACUGUAUGUCUUUAAAAAUGUUAUACAAAUAUAAUAUAACAAACAACACAUUAAGACAUUAACAGAAACUUCAGUUCUCCUUCUAGAAUAGAAUCCAAUAGAACUUGAGUGAGCUGAACUGAAAUGUAAAGUGGGAAAUAACAAAAAAAUAUUCACAAUGGCAGAAGAGAAGAAUUUAGUGAAUAAAGAAUUCAACAGUGUAACACAAAAUUUCUGGGUGUCCUGAAUAAAGCAGAAAAUAUACAAGAAAAGGAUUAUUCAAAAGGAAUUAAAUGUUUUACAAGACAGCAAUACAGAAUAUGAGGUAAGUAGUGCCAGUGAUGACUACUGCUGACAAUCAUGACAAACAGUUACUCUUCCUCUGGAUUAAACAAUAAUAUCAGCAGAAUGGUAUGUUUAAUUAAUCUGCUUUAUACACAUUCAUUAUUUUAACAUAAAUACUCAAGAAGAUGGGUGUGACCACAAACAGUUACUAGAUGUUAUAAAUGCUUUUAAUCUGACUAUGACAAUAAAUGUACCCACUCGAGUAACUGAAAGUACAGCAACAAUUUUAGACCAAAUCAUUAC
Molecule: non-coding RNA, 650 nt
Organism: Zootermopsis nevadensis
Lineage: Eukaryota; Metazoa; Arthropoda; Insecta; Blattodea; Termopsidae
Source: RefSeq, a predicted model, not a curated record